This 119-nucleotide small nuclear RNA is filed under the name Ancylostoma ceylanicum. Its description in RNAcentral is "U5 spliceosomal RNA". It matches the Rfam family "U5 spliceosomal RNA". Rfam says of the family: U5 RNA is a component of both types of known spliceosome. The record is from Rfam by way of RNAcentral. Lineage: Eukaryota; Metazoa; Nematoda; Chromadorea; Rhabditida; Ancylostomatidae.
AUCUCUGGUUCCUUUGCAUUUAACCGAGAAAAUCUUUCGCCUUUUACUAAAGAUUUCCGUGCAAGGGAGCGUUUUAUGAGUAUUUGCCAAUUUUUGGAAUCCCCUCGAAAGAGCGGGAU